CCCUCGCCGGUUCCAUUUGUAGCCUCAUCACCCUAUUUCCCUCUCCCUCGCGCGCGCCCACACCUCUACUUCCGAGCCGCCCUUGCUCCUGUGCCCAUCCGGUGGAUGCCCGCCCGCCAUAGCACAACGUGCCCAUCAGUUCUGUGGAGGAGCCCUGCUGUUCGCGUCGAAUCGCUAGUUUGGUGCUCGCCGUCGAACUCCGUCGUGAUCGCGGUUCGUUUCCGAGCUUCGAGGAAUCAACGUUCAAGCGUCGGCGACCAAGAGAUCAAGCUCUUCGAGUUCUAUAAAGUUGAAGUCCCUGAGCAUCUGUUUGGCGAAGGGGACUCAGGCUGUUUUCUCAGUACCUCUCCGUAAGGACCUGUUCGGGGAGUGACAACCCGGGAUAACAGUGCAACCAUGAGGGUGGAAUGGGACGCCCUUAGCUGAUUAAUUAGAGAAACCAGAGGAGUAGCUGGCUUCGCCGUAGGGCCGUCAAUGGGGUCCGGGCAUAGUACUUGCUCUACCGAGGCUGGUUGCAGAGGUUCUUGAUUUGGUUUUGUUAGUCACCCUUCCUUUGGGGAGAUGUACUGUGUUUAUCAAACUGGAGAAACCUAACGGGCGGCUAUGACCUCUGGGAAAUCUUUGUAAAGGCUACGUAGUGAGACCCUGCUAGGUCACCUUGGUACUGAUCGAUGGAGAGUCAUGAUCUCCGGGCAGAACGGGAAUCACGACUUGUGGGUAAAGUGUGCGACCUCUGUAGAGGAUUAGAAACUGAUAUAUCAGUCGUGCUCACGGUUAUGAGUGGCCU
This is a long non-coding RNA of Zea mays, 787 nucleotides long. RefSeq lists it as uncharacterized. The transcript has 3 exons. The record is from RefSeq and is a predicted model, not a curated record. Lineage: Eukaryota; Viridiplantae; Streptophyta; Magnoliopsida; Poales; Poaceae.